Molecule: ribosomal RNA, 301 nt
Filed under: uncultured bacterium
Lineage: Bacteria
Description: partial 16S ribosomal RNA
Rfam family: Bacterial small subunit ribosomal RNA
Source: RNAcentral
CAGCAGCCGCGGUAAUACGUAGGGCGCAAGCGUUAUCCGGAAUUAUUGGGCGUAAAGAGCUCGUAGGCGGUUUGUCGCGUCUGCCGUGAAAGUCCGGGGCUCAACCCCGGAUCUGCGGUGGGUACGGGCAGACUAGAGUGAUGUAGGGGAGACUGGAAUUCCUGGUGUAGCGGUGAAAUGCGCAGAUAUCAGAAGGAACACCGAUGGCGAAGGCAGGUCUCUGGGCAUUAACUGACGCUGAGGAGCGAAAGCAUGGGGAGCGAACAGGAUUAGAUACCCCCGUAGUCCCUGUCUCUUAUAA